CAAUAGCGUAUAUUUAAGUUGUUGCAGUUAAAAAGCUCGUAGUUGGAUUUCGGGUGGGACGCAGCGGUCUCGCAUUGCGUUUGCACUGCUGCAGCCCUCCUUCUUGCCGGGGGCGGCCUCUCGGACUUCACUGUCUGGGGGUCAGAAUCGGCGAUGUUACUUUGAGUAAAUUAGAGUGUUCAAAGCAAGCUUACGCUCUGAAUAUAAUAGCAUGGGAUAACACGACAGGACUCUGGCCUAUCGUGUUGGUCUAUAGGACCAGAGUAAUGAUUAAGAGGGACAGUCGGGGGCAUUCGUAUUCCGUUGUCAGAGGUGAAAUUCUUGGAUUUACGGAAGACGAACAUCUGCGAAAGCAUUUGCCAAGGAUGUUUNCAUUG
This 377-nucleotide ribosomal RNA is filed under the name uncultured eukaryote. RNAcentral's name for it is "partial 18S ribosomal RNA". It matches the Rfam family "Eukaryotic small subunit ribosomal RNA", at positions 592 to 975 of the family's 1831-position model. The record is from RNAcentral.